RNAcentral lists this ribosomal RNA (230 nucleotides) under uncultured bacterium. RNAcentral's name for it is "partial 16S ribosomal RNA". It matches the Rfam family "Bacterial small subunit ribosomal RNA", at positions 563 to 791 of the family's 1533-position model. The record is from RNAcentral.
AAGGGAGCGUAGGCGGCUGAUUAAGUCAGCGGUGAAAGGUAGCAGCUUAACUGUUUUACAUGCCGUUGAUACUGGUUAGCUUGAGUUGACAGAAGGCAGAUAGAAUUCCUGAUGUAGCGGUGAAAUGCUUAGAUAUCAGGAGGAAUACCGAUUGCGAAGGCAGUCUGCUGCAGUCACACUGACGCUGAGGCUCGAAGGUGCGGGGAUCAAACAGGAUUAGAUACCCCUGU